Molecule: small nucleolar RNA, 92 nt
Organism: Pyrus x bretschneideri (Chinese white pear)
Lineage: Eukaryota; Viridiplantae; Streptophyta; Magnoliopsida; Rosales; Rosaceae
Product: small nucleolar RNA R24
Exons: 1
Source: RefSeq, a predicted model, not a curated record
GAUGCAGUGAUGAGUUUUAACAUGUAACAUAGAAUACUUAGAGUGUUUUCCCUUCUAUGAAGUAUUCUUGUUAAGCUUGUCUUUUGAGCAUG